ACGGAAGGCAGCAGUGGGGAAUAUUGCACAAUGGGGGAAACCCUGAUGCAGCGACGCCGCGUGAGUGAAGAAGUAUUUCGGUAUGUAAAGCUCUAUCAGCAGGGAAGAAAAUGACGGUACCUGACUAAGAAGCCCCGGCUAACUACGUGCCAGCAGCCGCGGUAAUACGUAGGGGGCAAGCGUUAUCCGGAUUUACUGGGUGUAAAGGGAGCGUAGACGGUCUGGCAAGUCUGAUGCGAAAGGCAGGGGCUCAACUCCUGGACUGCAUUGGAAACUGUCAGUCUUGAGUGUCGGAGAGGUAAGCGGAAUUCCUAGUGUAGCGGUGAAAUGCGUAGAUAUUAGGAGGAACACCAGUGGCGAAGGCGGCUUACUGGACGAUAACUGACGUUGAGGCUCGAAAGCGUGGGGAGCAAACAGGAUUAGAUACCCUGGUA
Molecule: ribosomal RNA, 434 nt
Filed under: uncultured Lachnospiraceae bacterium
Lineage: Bacteria; Bacillati; Bacillota; Clostridia; Lachnospirales; Lachnospiraceae
Description: partial 16S ribosomal RNA
Rfam family: Bacterial small subunit ribosomal RNA
Source: RNAcentral